Long non-coding RNA from Sarcophilus harrisii (Tasmanian devil), 962 nucleotides. RefSeq lists it as uncharacterized. NCBI's taxonomy places the organism in Eukaryota, Metazoa, Chordata, Mammalia, Dasyuromorphia, Dasyuridae. The record is from RefSeq and is a predicted model, not a curated record. The transcript has 5 exons.
GGAUGGCGCAGAUGCGGAAGGCCACUUCGUCAGGGAUGGGCGACAGGGGAUAAGGCCGGGGUCCUAAGGCCACCUCGGGUAGACACAAGGAAAUGGAGCCCCAAGAGGAGAACUAAUUUGCCCAAGAUCACAGUCGAUGGCAGUGCAUGAGGACCAUGAGCCCAGGUCUUUUGCUUCCAGUUUUUUGACACAGCAGCUCCAACACCCUAAGGGUGUGUUGCCUGAGAUAAUGCCAGUUCUCCUUGGGCUUCCCUUGCCAGCCACUUCCCAGCUGCAGAUUUUAGCAGUAUGAAAUAGGAAACGUCUCCAAGUUACCUGGAACCAGAGAAAUGAAAUCUACUUAGAGGAGUCUCUUCAAGAGCUGCCAUGAGAAUGAGAUCUAUUCAAGAAUUUCCAAGUGAAAAUGUUUCCAGGGACCAGAAGCCUACAUGGGACAGCUAGGAUUCAAAAUGUAGCUUUUGAUUAAAUGAACUUUGGGAAUAGGUUACCAGGAACAAAGAAAUUUGAUGUUAUUUAAUAUUGAUGAUCAUUAUUAUGUUAAUUUUGGCUUCAGUGUUUCAUUUUUGCCUGCAAAAGGGGUAUGACCAAAUUCUUUCUUAUUCAUUGUUUGGAAAUCAGGACCAUUCCUCCUUCAAUUUUUGGAAACCUGUCUUCUGUUUAUGUAUACCUUACCUGACCAAAACUUGACUUAUGGAAAUAAUAGUGUUAACUGUUUAACAUUCCUAAGUAGAAGCCAAAGGGAAGUUUAAGUUUCUUAAAGUGAUUUAGAUAUUUGUCAGCUACUCUAACUGGUGAUAUGUAAAUUUCUCCUCUCAUUCAAUCCAUUAUAACCCUUUAAAUUAGUAGCUUAAUUUGUAACAUGUCUUAAUUUAGCUUUAUAAUUUAUUUUACAAGGUUUGUCUCCUUAAGGGAUGUAUGAGAUGAUUCUGUUUAAUUAAAUUGGUUCAGUUUUUAUGGCAUAG